Long non-coding RNA from Osmia bicornis bicornis, 2330 nucleotides. RefSeq lists it as uncharacterized. The transcript has 9 exons. The record is from RefSeq and is a predicted model, not a curated record. Lineage: Eukaryota; Metazoa; Arthropoda; Insecta; Hymenoptera; Megachilidae.
UUCCUCCCUUGACGGCUGUUUUUCUUAUUUUCGGUAUUUUGCGCAAUUUGUUUUUUCUGCGUCGCGAUAGUGUGCUGGCGCAGUGCGUUCGGCACUCCGCGCAAUCUGCGCGUUUUAUACGGGUUAUCUAUUUAUUUAUAAUUGUUAAUCUAGCUUUGUGGCUGGUCCACUUUCUUUUAUAGUUUGUAUCCAUAUUUAUUCGCUAUAUCUUCUUAUGAAUGAACGGGACAGGCGUUUGGGUGGGUGUAGAGCUGGAGUUGAGAUUUAAAACUUCAAGAUGACGGAUCGUAUAAUAUAAUCUAUGGCUCGUCGCCAUACUGGUUCGCCGUUUCGCCGCUUUGCCGUGAGUCGCUGCCUGUCGACUUCGACUCGACCCGAUUCGGAUAUCUGGGUCUCUUAUCUUGUGCAUCUUACACUCGUUGGUCAUAUUUGUAGGCUUUGUGUGCUCCGUUUCGUGCAUGCUUAUGAUGCCCAGAAGAUAGAGAGUAUUGUGUAGUUUUCUCACUCUCAAGUUAAGUUAUUGUUGGGUUCAAUCGCAGUUGCUAACGGAUUACUGUAGCUGCUGAUCUUGCUAAUCCUAUUGAGUGUAACCUGUGCGAUCUUUGUCGCAUUGUGAUGCUAGGCGGCUGUAUUGCUAUUGAUGACCAUUAACGGUGCUGGGAGCCCGGUGGAAAUUGAACGGGGUUUGAUUGAUCGGGCUGAAUUGAGAUGAUCUGAUUGGGAUGGAUCGUCCGGUUGCCCUGUGAAUUUUUAUGAUACGGGUAUAACCUGGAAAUCCGUUGCAAUCUGCUGCAAUUUUGUUACAAAUUAUUAAUGAUCACGGUGCUGGGAGCCCGGUUGGAAUUGAACGGGGUUAGAUUUGAUCGGGCUGAAUUGUGAUGAUCUGGUUGGAAUUAAUAGAUCGUCCGGUUGUCCUGUUAAUCUUUAUGAUACGGGUAACUGAUAACCUGGUAAUCUGCUGCAAUCUGUUGCAAUUUGGGUGCAAAAUUAUAUAAUCACGGUGCUGGGAGCCCGGUUGGAAUUGAACGGGGUUAGAUUUGAUCGGGCUGAAUUGAGAUGAUAUGGUUGGAAUUAAUAGAUCGUCCGGUUGUCCUGUGAAUCUUUAUGAUACGGGUAACUGAUAACCUGGUAAUCUGUUGCAAUCUGUUGCAAUUUUGUUACAAAUUAUUAAUAAUCACGGUGCUAGGAUCCCGGUUGGAAUUGAACGGGGUUAGAUUUGAUCGGGCUGAAUUGAGUUGUGAACUGAGAUGAUCUGGUUGGAAUUAAUAGAUCGUUCGGUGUCCUGUGAAUCUUUAUGAUACGGGUAACUGAUAACCUGGUAAUCUGUUGCAAUCUGUUGCAAUUUGGGUGCAAAAUUAUAUAAUCACGGUGUUGGGAACCCGGUUGGAAUUGAACGGGGUUAGAUUUGAUCGGGCUGAAUUGAGAUGAUCUGGUUGGAAUUAAUAGAUCGUCCGGCUGUCCUGUGAAUCUUUAUGAUACGGGUAACUGAUAACCUGGUAAUCUGUUGCAAUUUGUUGCAAUUUGGUUGCAAAUUAUAUAAUCACGGUGCUGGACCGCGGUUGGAAUUAAACAGGACUAGAUUGAUUGGGCUGAAUUGGGCUGAUCUGGUUGGAGACAGCGAAUUCGUCCAGCUGUCCUGCGAAUCUUAUGACGAGGGUAGCUUGGUAACCUUGAUCUGCUGCAAUUAGCGCAUUGUUGCAUUAUGCCAUUAAAUGGCUUAUCUAUAGUUACGGUGCUGGGAGCCUGAUCGGAAUUGAGCUGAGUUGGAUCUGAUUGGGCUAAAUUGGGAUGUAUUGGGAUGAUUUGGCUGGAGUUGGCGGAUUUGUCCGGUUGGCCCAUGAACCUUUAUGAUGCGGGUAACCUGGUAACCUGCUAAUCUGUUGCAAUUGUUGCAUUGUGCCAUUAUAUGGCUUAUUGAUAGCUACGAUGUCGCGUGCCGGGUUGGCAUAUUAAAUGGUUGAAGGAUUGCUAAUUGGAUUGGAUCGGAUUGGUUGUGCCAUUAUUUAGGGAGCCAACAGAUUUAACCAUUAAUCUCGAGAAUCCCUAUGUACAAGGAAUAUGCUGCAGCGGGCAUUGUAUUGCCGGGCGACCUGUGUCGAUAGUGACGGUGGUAUUUUAUGCUCAUUAUCUAUAUCCUAUUGGUAUUAAUUAUAUAUUCUACUGAUCUUAUACUUAAUUCAUAUUUUAUCUAUAUUUAAUCCAUACCUGACAAUAAGUAAGACUAUACUAAUGAUGCAUUAUUAUUAUACUAUAUUAUACACAGUACCUGUUGUAAUAUGUAUGGUAUCUUGGCUUGUUGUGCCGCGGGAUUUGCCGCUGGCCGCAGCGAA